This 592-nucleotide ribosomal RNA is filed under the name Escherichia coli. Its description in RNAcentral is "partial 23S ribosomal RNA". It matches the Rfam family "Bacterial large subunit ribosomal RNA", at positions 1153 to 1746 of the family's 2925-position model. Lineage: Bacteria; Pseudomonadati; Pseudomonadota; Gammaproteobacteria; Enterobacterales; Enterobacteriaceae. The record is from RNAcentral.
GUCGGCCUGCGCGGAAGAUGUAACGGGGCUAAACCAUGCACCGAAGCUGCGGCAGCGACGCUUAUGCGUUGUUGGGUAGGGGAGCGUUCUGUAAGCCUGUGAAGGUGUACUGUGAGGUAUGCUGGAGGUAUCAGAAGUGCGAAUGCUGACAUAAGUAACGAUAAAGCGGGUGAAAAGCCCGCUCGCCGGAAGACCAAGGGUUCCUGUCCAACGUUAAUCGGGGCAGGGUGAGUCGACCCCUAAGGCGAGGCCGAAAGGCGUAGUCGAUGGGAAACAGGUUAAUAUUCCUGUACUUGGUGUUACUGCGAAGGGGGGACGGAGAAGGCUAUGUUGGCCGGGCGACGGUUGUCCCGGUUUAAGCGUGUAGGCUGGUUUUCCAGGCAAAUCCGGAAAAUCAAGGCUGAGGCGUGAUGACGAGGCACUACGGUGCUGAAGCAACAAAUGCCCUGCUUCCAGGAAAAGCCUCUAAGCAUCAGGUAACAUCAAAUCGUACCCCAAACCGACACAGGUGGUCAGGUAGAGAAUACCAAGGCGCUUGAGAGAACUCGGGUGAAGGAACUAGGCAAAAUGGUGCCGUAACUUCGGGAGAAGG